This 460-nucleotide ribosomal RNA is filed under the name uncultured bacterium. RNAcentral describes it as "partial 16S ribosomal RNA". It matches the Rfam family "Bacterial small subunit ribosomal RNA", at positions 338 to 795 of the family's 1533-position model. The record is from RNAcentral.
CCUACGGGAGGCAGCAGUGAGGAAUAUUGGUCAAUGGUCGAGAGACUGAACCAGCCAAGCCGCGUGAAGGAGGAAGGUACAGAGUGUCGUAAACCUCUUUUGUCAGGGAACAAAGACUGGGACGCGUCCCCGUAUGAAUGUACCUGAAGAAAAAGCAUCGGCUAACUCCGUGCCAGCAGCCGCGGUAAUACGGAGGAUGCGAGCGUUAUCCGGAUUUAUUGGGUUUAAAGGGUGCGUAGGUGGGUUGUUAAGUCAGUUGUGAAAGGUUGCGGCUCAACCGUGACAUUGCAUUUGAUACUGGCAGUCUUGAGUACAGUAGAGGUGGGCGGAAUGCGUGGUGUAGCGGUGAAAUGCUUAGAUAUCGCGAAGAACUCCGAUUGCGAAGGCAGCUUACUGAACUGUGACUGACACUGAUGCUCGAAAGUGUGGGUAUCAAACAGGAUUAGAUACCCCAGUAGUC